CCUACGGGUGGCUGCAGUGGGGAAUAUUGGGCAAUGGGCGCAAGCCUGACCCAGCAACGCCGCGUGAAGGAAGAAGGCUUUCGGGUUGUAAACUUCUUUUCUGAGGGACGAAGAAAGUGACGGUACCUCAGCCAUAAGCCACGGCUAACUACGUGCCAGCAGCCGCGGUAAUACGUAGGUGGCAAGCGUUAUCCGGAUUUAUUGGGUGUAAAGGGCGUGUAGGCGGGAAAGCAAGUCAGAUGUGAAAACUCAGGGCUCAACCCUGAGCCUGCAUUUGAAACUGUUUUUCUUGAGUGCUGGAGAGGCAAUCGGAAUGCGGGGUGUAGCGGUGAAAUGCGUAGAUAUACGGAGGAACACCAGUGGCGAAGGCGGAUUGCUGGACAGUAACUGACGCUGAGGCGCGAAAGCGUGGGGAGCGAACAGGAUUAGAUACCCUUGUAGUC
This 443-nucleotide ribosomal RNA is filed under the name uncultured bacterium. RNAcentral describes it as "partial 16S ribosomal RNA". It matches the Rfam family "Bacterial small subunit ribosomal RNA", at positions 338 to 795 of the family's 1533-position model. The record is from RNAcentral.